Molecule: long non-coding RNA, 232 nt
Filed under: Lathyrus oleraceus (garden pea)
Lineage: Eukaryota; Viridiplantae; Streptophyta; Magnoliopsida; Fabales; Fabaceae
Description: Pisum sativum (pea) long non-coding RNA (PSAT_LNC023820)
Source: RNAcentral
AUUUCCAUUUUUCCAUUUUAUUUAUUUUAUUCAUUUUAUUUUUCUCUUUUGAUUUUUUUUUAACUCUCUUAUUUUUUUUUGUUGAAGAAUGUUGAACAUCAACCCCCCUUAUUUUUUCCUCUAAAAUUUAAUGGUGAUUCUAUUUAUUUUAUUUGGAUCAUUUACGAUAGACUUUUGGAGUCUUGAAAUAAAGGACCAAUGAAAAUCAUUCAAGUCAUGAUGUGCUUGGUUU